This is a long non-coding RNA of Solenopsis invicta (red fire ant), 927 nucleotides long. RefSeq lists it as uncharacterized. The transcript is spliced from 3 exons. NCBI's taxonomy places the organism in Eukaryota, Metazoa, Arthropoda, Insecta, Hymenoptera, Formicidae. The record is from RefSeq and is a predicted model, not a curated record.
UGGAACGUUCCUUCUUGCUUUCACUAACUUUCAAAUAUAUAUCUAUUUCAUUUUAAGUGCACACUAAUUCAGGGAGUUCAGGAACAGAAAACAAACGGCUAUUAUCUGUGUGUAGACCGGGACUUACCAGUUUAGCUUUGCUGUAGUGUUCGGGGUAUUCGUGAGCUUAGUCUAAUAAAUAUAUACAUUAUUGUGUACGAAACAUUUGCAUUAACAUUACGAUUUUUAAAAAGUUACUCUUAUACAAUUCAGCAAUAUCUUUUCAAGAUUGAUCAAAACGAUCCAUCAGCCUAAGAAAAGUUUGUGAAACUUUUACUGCAAAAAUUAUACAGACAUUAAGCCAUACAUAUAUCAAGAUACUAAUUACUAUCAAGAAAAAUGACUUUACCUAACAAUAUUGGUGACUGGGUGGAAUUCAUUCUCUUGCUAUUAGAAAUAUGUAUCUUUUUCUUCGCAAAUGACAAAGUUUAUACAUGUAUAAAUGAAAAUAUGACAUCACCAACAAAUACUUCAUCAACAAUUACUUCAGAUAGAUACAGCAAUACAACAAAUUUAGAUCAGAAAAGUAUAAUUAAAUAUUUGGAACUGUUACAAAUUACUGAUUCGUCUGAUUGUUUAAUUUUGCUCUCUACACGUAUUGGAUUUUGUGUGCUCAUAAUGGUAUUUGAAUGGAAAUAUUUAAGACAGUUUGGCGUCUAGAUAGCAGUAGAGAUGCACCGCCGGAUACGCUGGAUACGUCGAAUAUGUUGGAUACGCCGUAUUAGUAUUUUAAAAGUCGAUAAAUAAUGUCGUUUGAAUCAGUCAGAUGACGUAUGCUGUCUUUCUAAUGUGCAUUUCCCCCCUUUUUAAUAUAUGUAUUUUUCAUGUAUAAAUAUUUAUUGCUGUUUGAGCGUGGCUGAAUAAAGAUUAUUUUUUAUCUCUAUCAAA